AUGGGCACGAAUCUCGACCGCGACUUGCGGGAGCGCAAGAAAGCCAUUCUCAAGUCCAUCCAGGCCCUUGACCUUCAGGCUGGCUCGGUUGGACUGGCCCCCAACAAGUGGUUGCUGCGGUAUGACCUUGAGGAUCAGCUCACGGUCAUUUACACGGACGAGGCAUAUUGGCAUCUUCGUGGGGCACAAAAGUGGGUCCUUAAGGGUGACGCCAAUACGGCUUACUUCCAAGCCAUCGCCAAUGGCCGUAGGCGGCGGAACACUAUCCCUUUGCUCUGGGAUGGGGUGACCCUCCUGCAACAUCCGGCAGACAUCCGGGCCCAUGUGGACGGCUUCUAUAAAGCCCUCUUCUCCUCCCCUCGGGGAGACCUAGCUUUAGCGGCAAAUUUCUGGAGUGGCCACCAGUGCGUCUCUGCCGCGGAGAACGCUGCCCUCACGGCACCAUUCUUUAAGGAGGAGGUCUGGACUACUAUUAAAGGCAUGAACCCAGCAUCCGCCCUGGGCCCCGAUGGACUCCCGGUUAAAUUCUUCCAGACAUUCUGGACUGUGAUCAAACGCGAGGUGAUGGCCCUCUUUGAGGAGUUCUAUGUAGGCGCCAUCGACCUUCACCGCCUCAACUACUGGAUCAUCACCUUGAUCCCCAAGGUCCUCAAAGCCUUCGACAUCCGGCAGUUCCUCCCGAUCACAGUG
This 690-nucleotide ribosomal RNA is filed under the name Triticum aestivum (bread wheat). RNAcentral's name for it is "partial small subunit ribosomal RNA". The record is from RNAcentral. Lineage: Eukaryota; Viridiplantae; Streptophyta; Magnoliopsida; Poales; Poaceae.